RNAcentral lists this ribosomal RNA (497 nucleotides) under uncultured bacterium. RNAcentral describes it as "partial 16S ribosomal RNA". It matches the Rfam family "Bacterial small subunit ribosomal RNA", at positions 28 to 507 of the family's 1533-position model. The record is from RNAcentral.
GAUGAACGCUGGCGGCGUGCCUAAUACAUGCAAGUCGAGCGAACAGACGAGGAGCUUGCUCCUCUGACGUUAGCGGCGGACGGGUGAGUAACACGUGGAUAACCUACCUAUAAGACUGGGAUAACUUCGGGAAACCGGAGCUAAUACCGGAUAAUAUAUUGAACCGCAUGGUUCAAUAGUGAAAGACGGUUUUGCUGUCACUUAUAGAUGUAUCCGCGCCGCAUUAGCUAGUUGGUAAGGUAACGGCUUACCAAGGCGACGAUGCGUAGCCGACCUGAGAGGGUGAGCGGCCACACUGGAACUGAGACACGGUCCAGACUCCUACGGGAGGCAGCAGUAGGGAAUCUUCCGCCAUGGGCGAAAGCCUGACGGAGCAACGACGCGUGAGUGAUGAAGGUCUUCGGAUCGUAAAACUCUGUUAUUAGGGAAGAACAAAUGUGUAAGUAACUAUGCACGUCUUGACGGUACCUAAUCAGAAAGCCACGGCUAACUACGUG